AAUGGUUCCCAAGGAAAUGGA
Molecule: non-coding RNA, 21 nt
Filed under: Mus musculus (house mouse)
Lineage: Eukaryota; Metazoa; Chordata; Mammalia; Rodentia; Muridae
Also listed under: 1 other name
Source: RNAcentral